RNAcentral lists this ribosomal RNA (761 nucleotides) under uncultured bacterium. RNAcentral describes it as "bacterial SSU rRNA". It matches the Rfam family "Bacterial small subunit ribosomal RNA", at positions 8 to 796 of the family's 1533-position model. The record is from RNAcentral.
AGAGUUUGAUCCUGGCUCAGCCUGAACGCUGGCGGCGUGGCUAAGACAUGCAAGUCGUACGGACGUAGCAAUACGUCAGUGGCGAACGGGUGAGUAAUGUAUCGCUAACGUACCCCUCAAUCCGGGAUAGCUGGGGGAAACUCCAGGUAAUACCGGGUGAAAUUCUUUUGUCGCAUGGCGAGAGACUCAAAGGGAAACCGUUGAGGGAGCGGGCGAUAUCGUAUCAGCUAGUUGGUGAGGUAACGGCUCACCAAGGCAAUGACGCGUAGCCGGACUGAGAGGUCGGUCGGCCACAUUGGGACUGAGACACUGCCCAGACUCCUACGGGGGGCUGCAGUAACGAAUCUUCCGCAAUGCACGCAAGUGUGACGGAGCGACGCCGCGUGUGGGACGAAGUCCUUCGGGAUGUAAACCACUGUCAGGGGUUACCAAGUUCUGAGGAACCCCAGAGGAAGGCACGGCUAACUCUGUGCCAGCAGCCGCGGUAAGACAGAGGUGCCGAGCGUUAGGCGGAAUCACUGGGCUUAAAGCGUGUGUAGGCGGGCCGUUAAGUGUCUUGUGAAAUCCCCCGGCUCAACCGGGGAAUUGCUGGGCAUACUGGCGGUCUUGAGCAGUCUAGGGGCAGAUGGAACAAGUGGUGGAGCGGUGAAAUGCGUAGAUAUCACUUGGAACGCCAAUGGUGAAGACAGUCUGCUGGGGACUUGCUGACGCUGAGACACGAAAGCCAGGGGAGCGAACGGGAUUAGAUACCCUAGUAGUCC